This 229-nucleotide long non-coding RNA is filed under the name Capsicum annuum. Its description in RNAcentral is "long non-coding RNA (CANN_LNC015399)". Lineage: Eukaryota; Viridiplantae; Streptophyta; Magnoliopsida; Solanales; Solanaceae. The record is from RNAcentral.
GCUGGUAUGAUAUUAACUUGUGGGGUUCACUUAUUAACCUUUUUCUUCUUUUUCUCCUUUUCUUGAUCACAUAUUAUUCAGGAUGGAUAUGGAUUUUCUUUUUCAUUCUUUUUCUUUUCUUAUUCUUCUUCCACACCACCCAGCUUUUUAUUCUUUUUCACUUAGUCUUUUCCUUUUAUUCUACCUUUCUUCAUACCCAGUUUACAUUACAUACUCCUAUGAUAGCCAC